GUGGGGAAUAUUGGACAAUGGGCGAAAGCCUGAUCCAGCCAUGCCGCGUGUGUGAAGAAGGUCUUCGGAUUGUAAAGCACUUUAAGUUGGGAGGAAGGGCAGUAAGUUAAUACCUUGCUGUUUUGACGUUACCGACAGAAUAAGCACCGGCUAACUACGUGCCAGCAGCCGCGGUAAUACGUAGGGUGCAAGCGUUAAUCGGAAUUACUGGGCGUAAAGCGUGCGCAGGCGGUUAUAUAAGACAGAUGUGAAAUCCCCGGGCUCAACCUGGGAACUGCCUCCAAAACUGCAUGACUAGAGUACGGUAGAGGGUAGUGGAAUUUCCUGUGUAGCGGUGAAAUGCGUAGAUAUAGGAAGGAACACCAGUGGCGAAGGCGACUACCUGGACUGAUACUGACACUGAGGUGCGAAAGCGUGGGGAGCAAACAGGAUUAGAAACCCUUGUAGUCC
This 450-nucleotide ribosomal RNA is filed under the name uncultured bacterium. RNAcentral's name for it is "partial 16S ribosomal RNA". It matches the Rfam family "Bacterial small subunit ribosomal RNA", at positions 354 to 796 of the family's 1533-position model. The record is from RNAcentral.